GACGAACGCUGGCGGCGUGCUUAACACAUGCAAGUCGAACGGAAAGGCCCUGCUUUUGUGGGGUGCUCGAGUGGCGAACGGGUGAGUAACACGUGAGUAACCUGCCCUUGACUUUGGGAUAACUUCAGGAAACUGGGGCUAAUACCGGAUAGGAGCUCCUGCUGCAUGGUGGGGGUUGGAAAGUUUCGGCGGUUGGGGAUGGACUCGCGGCUUAUCAGCUUGUUGGUGGGGUAGUGGCUUACCAAGGCUUUGACGGGUAGCCGGCCUGAGAGGGUGACCGGCCACAUUGGGACUGAGAUACGGCCCAGACUCCUACGGGAGGCAGCAGUGGGGAAUAUUGCGCAAUGGGCGGAAGCCUGAUGCAGCAACGCCGCGUGCGGGAUGACGGCCUUCGGGUUGUAAACCGCUUUCGCCUGUGACGAAGCGUGAGUGACGGUAAUGGGUAAAGAAGCACCGGCUAACUACGUGCCAGCAGCCGCGGUGAUACGUAGGGUGCGAGCGUUGUCCGGAUUUAUUGGGCGUAAAGGGCUCGUAGGUGGUUGAUCGCGUCGGAAGUGUAAUCUUGGGGCUUAACCCUGAGCGUGCUUUCGAUACGGGUUGACUUGAGGAAGGUAGGGGAGAAUGGAAUUCCUGGUGGAGCGGUGGAAUGCGCAGAUAUCAGGAGGAACACCAGUGGCGAAGGCGGUUCUCUGGGCCUUUCCUGACGCUGAGGAGCGAAAGCGUGGGGAGCGAACAGGCUUAGAUACCCUGGUAGUCCACGCUGUAAACGGUGGGUACUAGGUGUGGGGUCCAUUCCACGGGUUCCGUGCCGUAGCUAACGCUUUAAGUACCCCGCCUGGGGAGUACGGCCGCAAGGCUAAAACUCAAAGGAAUUGACGGGGCCCCGCACAAGCGGCGGAGCAUGCGGAUUAAUUCGAUGCAACGCGUAGAACCUUACCUGGGUUUGACAUGGAUCGGGAGCGCUCAGAGAUGGGUGUGCCUCUUUUGGGGUCGGUUCACAGGUGGUGCAUGGCUGUCGUCAGCUCGUGUCGUGAGAUGUUGGGUUAAGUCCCGCAACGAGCGCAACCCUUGUUCACUGUUGCCAGCACGUUAUGGUGGGGACUCAGUGGAGACCGCCGGGGUCAACUCGGAGGAAGGUGGGGAUGACGUCAAGUCAUCAUGCCCCUUAUGUCCAGGGCUUCACGCAUGCUACAAUGGCUGGUACAGAGAGUGGCGAGCCUGUGAGGGUGAGCGAAUCUCGGAAAGCCGGUCUCAGUUCGGAUUGGGGUCUGCAACUCGACCUCAUGAAGUCGGAGCCGCUAGUAAUCGCAGAUCAGCAACGCUGCGGUGAAUACGUUCCCGGGGCU
RNAcentral lists this ribosomal RNA (1346 nucleotides) under uncultured bacterium. RNAcentral describes it as "bacterial SSU rRNA". It matches the Rfam family "Bacterial small subunit ribosomal RNA", at positions 28 to 1381 of the family's 1533-position model. The record is from RNAcentral.